RNAcentral lists this ribosomal RNA (315 nucleotides) under uncultured eukaryote. Its description in RNAcentral is "partial 18S ribosomal RNA". It matches the Rfam family "Eukaryotic small subunit ribosomal RNA", at positions 1470 to 1796 of the family's 1831-position model. The record is from RNAcentral.
CCCUUAGACGUUCUGGGCCGCACGCGCGCUACACUGACCAGUGCAACAAGCAUCCGUCCUUGGCCGACAGGCCCGGGCAAUCUUUGAACGCUGGUCGUGAUGGGGAUAGACUUUUGCAAUUUUUGGUCUUCAACGAGGAAUUCCUAGUAAACGCAAGUCAUCAACUUGCAUUGAUUACGUCCCUGCCCUUUGUACACACCGCCCGUCGCACCUACCGAUUGAAUGGUCCGGUGAAGCCUCCGGAUUGGCGCGCACCUCGGUUCCGCCGAGAAGUUGGCUAAACCUUACCAUUUAGAGGAAGGUGAAGUCGUAACA